RNAcentral lists this long non-coding RNA (1165 nucleotides) under Homo sapiens (human). Its description in RNAcentral is "HSALNT0382136". Lineage: Eukaryota; Metazoa; Chordata; Mammalia; Primates; Hominidae. The record is from RNAcentral.
CCUGACUGAACCAGGAAAGGGGCUCAGGAAGCAGCUGUAGGCCAGUGAAAGGACUACAGGCUUGGAGUCAGAAGGCCUGGGUUCAAACUUGGCCUUGAGAGUUCAUCGUGAUCCUGGGCCAGUCACUUCACUUCCUAGGGACUCAUCUGGUUCAUCCAUCUGUAAACAAAGCCGAUCAUAUCACCCUCCCAGGAUCACUGCAGGACCAGUAAGGAAGAUAUUGAGUAAUCCAGCUGUGAGAACUGCAGACUGAGAACAAUAAGUAUUUUUAAAAUAACAACCUUCCGAGUGACCACCGACGCAUCAAAUACUGGAUUGGGCGUGGUGUUAUUAUAAGACCAAGAGAAUGUAAAACAUCCUGUAACAUAUCUUAGUAGAAGAUCUUUGCCAAGGGAAAGAAAUCUGUCUUCUAUCUAAGAGGAAUGUUUGGUAAUCGUUUGGGCCUUGGAUAAACUCAGGCCAUACGUCUUGGGCCAGGCAUUUACAUUAUGGACUAAUCAUAGAGCCCUGCAGUGAAUAUAGACAUUGUGGAGUAAGAGUAGGUUACCGAGAUGGUCAUGGCAGCUUUGACACUCACAGAGACAUGCAGCCUGUGUCCGGAUGGGGAACAUUCAGGCCAAGACCCUUUCUUAAAAGGAAAAAUGUGAACGCUGGUAUCCCCUGAACGGACCCCAUCUAAGUGGAUCCUGAACUCCCAGCCUGUGCCAUCAGAUAAGAAUGUCAACAUGGCAGAGGGCGAAGGUAAGAAGGGACCCGUCCAACUCAGCCUGCUUGGGUCACAUUUUGUUUGCUUUAUCAGGUCCAAGAGAAAUCUGACUUCUUUGAGGGACCUGUGGGUGUCAUUCACAGGGACUCCUGGUAACUGAGCUAGACAGUGAAAAACAGGCAUUCUCUGUAAAAGGGCACUUGGGACUGACAAGAAGACAGAAGAAACAGAAGCUCGCCACUCAUGACAGCAGCACAGGCGUAGGCUUGGAGAAAGAAAGAUGAACUUGAGAGCCUUUGGUUCAGAGAGGUGUUACAGACUUGCUGAAAAUGUAACUCCAAGCAGCAGCAGAAGAUAAAUGAGAACAGAAGGAGCUAGAAGGGAAAUGGACUAAAGCAGGAAAAAUACAAAGAAAAGCAAAGGCUAGGAGAUCAAACAUCUAAAACAAUACUAGCAAAC